AGUGCUUGCAGAAGAUACAUCAAAUAUUGAUAUGUCUUCUGAUGGAUUACGUGAACAAAACAAAAAAAGACGACGUAUUAAAGCAAAAAAAUAACUGUCACAUCGUCUUCAGAGGAAGAUGUAUGUUCAAACGAGGAUGAAGACAAUGAUGUGAGGUCAAAUAAAAUCCUGCCUGAUUAUCCACAAAUUGGAAACUUUGUAUCAUCUCACAAACAGCAUAUUGAUAAAUCACAUAAUUCUACAAGUUCAUUAAGCAAAAAAACUUCUUAUGUAUUGAGCAGUAAUGUUGAAAAUAUUAACACUCAAAUUUCCAAAAAUAACAAAGAAAGAAAUUUUACACUAAAUCUUAAUGGCGAUAGCGACACUGAAAAUAUUUAUACGCGAGAAUAUAAGAAGUUAGUAUUAGGAAAACUGAAUAAAAUUAUAUAUAAAAUUAAUACUCUUGAAAAUAAAAUCGAUAUAUUGGAGGGAAAAAUGCAAUCAGCCAAUUCUUUUAAUGAAGAAAAUAAUAUUCAAUUGCC
Molecule: long non-coding RNA, 521 nt
Organism: Wasmannia auropunctata (little fire ant)
Lineage: Eukaryota; Metazoa; Arthropoda; Insecta; Hymenoptera; Formicidae
Exons: 3
Source: RefSeq, a predicted model, not a curated record